GAUGAAGAACGCAGCGAAAUGCGAUAAGUAGUGUGAAUUGCAGAAUUCAGUGAAUCAUCGAAUCUUUGAACGCACAUUGCGCCCCUUGGUAUUCCAUGGGGCAUGCCUGUUCGAGCGUCAUUUACACCCUCAAGCUCCGCUUGGUGUUGGGCGUCUGUCCCGCUUCGUGCGCGGACUCGCCCCAAAGGCAUUGGCAGCGGUCCUUGCCAGCUUCUCGCGCAGCACAUUGCGCUUCUCGAGGCUGGUGGAUCGGCGUCCAUCAAGCCCACUUCCACAGUUUGACCUCGGAUCAGGUAGGGAUACCCGCUGAACUUAAGCAUAUCAAUAAGCGGAGGA
RNAcentral lists this unclassified non-coding RNA (336 nucleotides) under soil metagenome. Its description in RNAcentral is "partial contains 5.8S ribosomal RNA, internal transcribed spacer 2, and large subunit ribosomal RNA". The stretch from base 1 to 120 matches the Rfam family "5.8S ribosomal RNA", at positions 35 to 154 of the family's 154-position model. The record is from RNAcentral.